RNAcentral lists this long non-coding RNA (1528 nucleotides) under Monodelphis domestica (gray short-tailed opossum). RNAcentral describes it as "lncRNA (ENSMODG00000043936.1)". Lineage: Eukaryota; Metazoa; Chordata; Mammalia; Didelphimorphia; Didelphidae. The record is from RNAcentral.
GGGGUAAUAAUAGCUAAUAUUUAUUAUGGUACUUAAUAUGUUCCAGGCACUAUGCUAAUUGCUUUACAAUUAUUAUCUCAAUUGACCAAUCACUUAAUCUCUCUGGUCCUCAAUUUCUUCAACCGUAAAAUGAGGAGACAAGACUAGAUGACUACUGAGGUCUUUCUAUCAUCAGCAUUGACCUAAUUCAAGACAGAUGAACCUAUGAUCUUUUCUGGGACUCCAUUACUUCUUUUUUAAAAUUAAGAGGCUAGACUAAAGACAGUUUUAGAAUUUUAGGUGGGGUCUGUGAACUCAGGGAAAAAGUUACAUCUUAUUUCCCUAAUUGCUAACUGAAAUUUAGCAUUUCCUUUAGCUAUUUAAAAUAUUAUUCUAAGAAGUCCAUCUUAUUCCAAAAAUGUUAUUCUGAGAAGAGGUUCACCAGAUUGUUCAAGGGAUCCAUGAUAUACAAAAAGUUGAAGAACCUCCAGAGUAGAGGAUUUAGAUAUCUACUUCCUUUUUAACUCUAAUAAAUGUGUGAUCCAACUCCUGGCUAGGAGAGAGGGGCUGCUGAUCAGGGACAACAAUUGAGGAGGUACCAUUGAGUUCCAGCAGGAGUCCAGUAGUUGGUGACCAUGGAACUCAAGUCCUAGUUUUAACUAUUAGCAAGGCAUUCUUUAUAGUACUAUAGCUGUCCUCCCUGCUAAUGAGUUUAGGAACUCAUUAUUUUGGCUAAAAGAAUUGAAGAUAUAUAUUUAUAGAGCUUUAGGGGUCUAGUUCUUAAUCACCAAACUAAUAUUUCCAGAUUUUCUCAGUAGGUUUCUUUCAGCUAUCAUACAACCUGCCUCCAAGAAGCCCUUUUACCUCCUAUUAAUGAAUGAUACUUUUAUUGAGUUAAUAAUAGGUAAUAUUUGCAUAAGGAUAUGGACUGGACAUGAGAUUUCUCCCAGAUGAAGAAAUCCCUCCAGCAAUGCAGGGAAUGUCCUCUGCAAGUUCAGCAAGCAAAUUGCACAAUUAAAAAGAUGUCAUCCAAGGAUGUGGCGUCUCUGCUAAUGGACUGAUUCAUUGCUGGCUGAGUCAACCAAAUCACUCAUCACCUAACUUGGUACUGCUGUUACCAGCUUUCAGUGCUGAAGAGAGAGAGCUUCCAUGGCUCUUCCAAGCCUCUUUUGAGAGCUCACAAGAUUGUCAUCUAGUCUGUUCCAUCUCAGGGAUUUAAGCAUGUUCAUGCUUAAAGCCUUAAACCAAAGGUUAAAGGUGGAAAGGAAGAACAAGAUAGAAAAACUGUCGUGCCAAAGGGAUCAACAAUUAGUGGACUAGGUUGCUCAUAUUGGUGAUCAAUUAAGAUGUGGGGUAGGCCAAGAAUACAAGGAAAUCAGGAAAUCAGAAACUCAUUAGAAGCAGAAAACUGGAACAAAGUGUCUGACUGAUUGUGUGUAUUUGUGUGUAUUUAUGGAAGACCUCAGAAUAUUAGACCAAAUGUUAUAAAAUUAAGGGAAUUAAAUAUCACUCUUCCUCACAGGAAGCCUCCCUAGUCUUAGAGCUGCAG